GGGUUGUGAGGUUAAGCGACUAAGCGUACACGGUGGAUGCCCUGGCAGUCAGAGGCGAUGAAGGACGUGCUAAUCUGCGAUAAGCGUCGGUAAGGUGAUAUGAACCGUUAUAACCGGCGAUUUCCGAAUGGGGAAACCCAGUGUGAUUCGUCACACUAUCAUUAACUGAAUCCAUAGGUUAAUGAGGCGAACCGGGGGAACUGAAACAUCUAAGUACCCCGAGGAAAAGAAAUCAACCGAGAUUCCCCCAGUAGCGGCGAGCGAACGGGGAGCAGCCCAGAGCCUGAAUCAGUGUGUGUGUUAGUGGAAGCGUCUGGAAAGGCGCGCGAUACAGGGUGACAGCCCCGUACACAAAAAUGCACAUGCUGUGAGCUCGAUGAGUAGGGCGGGACACGUGGUAUCCUGUCUGAAUAUGGGGGGACCAUCCUCCAAGGCUAAAUACUCCUGACUGACCGAUAGUGAACCAGUACCGUGAGGGAAAGGCGAAAAGAACCCCGGCGAGGGGAGUGAAAAAGAACCUGAAACCGUGUACGUACAAGCAGUGGGAGCACAGAGCAAUCUGUGUGACUGCGUACCUUUUGUAUAAUGGGUCAGCGACUUAUAUUCUGUAGCAAGGUUAACCGAAUAGGGGAGCCGAAGGGAAACCGAGUCUUAACUGGGCGUUAAGUUGCAGGGUAUAGACCCGAAACCCGGUGAUCUAGCCAUGGGCAGGUUGAAGGUUGGGUAACACUAACUGGAGGACCGAACCGACUAAUGUUGAAAAAUUAGCGGAUGACUUGUGGCUGGGGGUGAAAGGCCAAUCAAACCGGGAGAUAGCUGGUUCUCCCCGAAAGCUAUUUAGGUAGCGCCUCGUGAAUUCAUCUCCGGGGGUAGAGCACUGUUUCGGCAAGGGGGUCAUCCCGACUUACCAACCCGAUGCAAACUGCGAAUACCGGAGAAUGUUAUCACGGGAGACACACGGCGGGUGCUAACGUCCGUCGUGAAGAGGGAAACAACCCAGACCGCCAGCUAAGGUCCCAAAGUCAUGGUUAAGUGGGAAACGAUGUGGGAAGGCCCAGACAGCCAGGAUGUUGGCUUAGAAGCAGCCAUCAUUUAAAGAAAGCGUAAUAGCUCACUGGUCGAGUCGGCCUGCGCGGAAGAUGUAACGGGGCUAAACCAUGCACCGAAGCUGCGGCAGCGACGCUUAUGCGUUGUUGGGUAGGGGAGCGUUCUGUAAGCCUGUGAAGGUGUGCUGUGAGGCAUGCUGGAGGUAUCAGAAGUGCGAAUGCUGACAUAAGUAACGAUAAAGCGGGUGAAAAGCCCGCUCGCCGGAAGACCAAGGGUUCCUGUCCAACGUUAAUCGGGGCAGGGUGAGUCGACCCCUAAGGCGAGGCCGAAAGGCGUAGUCGAUGGGAAACAGGUUAAUAUUCCUGUACUUGGUGUUACUGCGAAGGGGGGACGGAGAAGGCUAUGUUGGCCGGGCGACGGUUGUCCCGGUUUAAGCGUGUAGGCUGGUUUUCCAGGCAAAUCCGGAAAAUCAAGGCUGAGGCGUGAUGACGAGGCACUACGGUGCUGAAGCAACAAAUGCCCUGCUUCCAGGAAAAGCCUCUAAGCAUCAGGUAACAUCAAAUCGUACCCCAAACCGACACAGGUGGUCAGGUAGAGAAUACCAAGGCGCUUGAGAGAACUCGGGUGAAGGAACUAGGCAAAAUGGUGCCGUAACUUCGGGAGAAGGCACGCUGAUAUGUAGGUGAAGUCCCUCGCGGAUGGAGCUGAAAUCAGUCGAAGAUACCAGCUGGCUGCAACUGUUUAUUAAAAACACAGCACUGUGCAAACACGAAAGUGGACGUAUACGGUGUGACGCCUGCCCGGUGCCGGAAGGUUAAUUGAUGGGGUCAGCGCAAGCGAAGCUCUUGAUCGAAGCCCCGGUAAACGGCGGCCGUAACUAUAACGGUCCUAAGGUAGCGAAAUUCCUUGUCGGGUAAGUUCCGACCUGCACGAAUGGCGUAAUGAUGGCCAGGCUGUCUCCACCCGAGACUCAGUGAAAUUGAACUCGCUGUGAAGAUGCAGUGUACCCGCGGCAAGACGGAAAGACCCCGUGAACCUUUACUAUAGCUUGACACUGAACAUUGAGCCUUGAUGUGUAGGAUAGGUGGGAGGCUUUGAAGUGUGGACGCCAGUCUGCAUGGAGCCGACCUUGAAAUACCACCCUUUAAUGUUUGAUGUUCUAACGUUGACCCGUAAUCCGGGUUGCGGACAGUGUCUGGUGGGUAGUUUGACUGGGGCGGUCUCCUCCUAAAGAGUAACGGAGGAGCACGAAGGUUGGCUAAUCCUGGUCGGACAUCAGGAGGUUAGUGCAAUGGCAUAAGCCAGCUUGACUGCGAGCGUGACGGCGCGAGCAGGUGCGAAAGCAGGUCAUAGUGAUCCGGUGGUUCUGAAUGGAAGGGCCAUCGCUCAACGGAUAAAAGGUACUCCGGGGAUAACAGGCUGAUACCGCCCAAGAGUUCAUAUCGACGGCGGUGUUUGGCACCUCGAUGUCGGCUCAUCACAUCCUGGGGCUGAAGUAGGUCCCAAGGGUAUGGCUGUUCGCCAUUUAAAGUGGUACGCGAGCUGGGUUUAGAACGUCGUGAGACAGUUCGGUCCCUAUCUGCCGUGGGCGCUGGAGAACUGAGGGGGGCUGCUCCUAGUACGAGAGGACCGGAGUGGACGCAUCACUGGUGUUCGGGUUGUCAUGCCAAUGGCACUGCCCGGUAGCUAAAUGCGGAAGAGAUAAGUGCUGAAAGCAUCUAAGCACGAAACUUGCCCCGAGAUGAGUUCUCCCUGACUCCUUGAGAGUCCUGAAGGAACGUUGAAGACGACGACGUUGAUAGGCCGGGUGUGUAAGCGCAGCGAUGCGUUGAGCUAACCGGUACUAAUGAACCGUGAGGCUUAACCUUACAACGCCGAAG
Molecule: ribosomal RNA, 2927 nt
Filed under: Escherichia coli
Lineage: Bacteria; Pseudomonadati; Pseudomonadota; Gammaproteobacteria; Enterobacterales; Enterobacteriaceae
Description: partial 23S ribosomal RNA
Rfam family: Bacterial large subunit ribosomal RNA
Source: RNAcentral